This 99-nucleotide signal recognition particle RNA is filed under the name Spirochaetota bacterium. RNAcentral's name for it is "Spirochaetes bacterium (groundwater metagenome) signal recognition particle sRNA small type". It matches the Rfam family "Bacterial small signal recognition particle RNA". Rfam says of the family: The signal recognition particle (SRP) is a universally conserved ribonucleoprotein involved in the co-translational targeting of proteins to membranes. Archaeal SRP consists of a 7S RNA and homologues of the eukaryotic SRP19 and SRP54 proteins. In most bacteria, the SRP consists of a 4.5S RNA and the Ffh protein (a homologue of the eukaryotic SRP54 protein). The record is from RNAcentral. Lineage: Bacteria; Pseudomonadati; Spirochaetota.
CGGUAGGACGUUCACGACGGACACCGGUUAAUCCGCCAGGGCCGGAAGGCAGCAACGGUACGUCGGCUAUGGACGGGCGCUGAGCUCAUCUUGCUGUUA